RNAcentral lists this ribosomal RNA (240 nucleotides) under uncultured bacterium. Its description in RNAcentral is "partial 16S ribosomal RNA". It matches the Rfam family "Bacterial small subunit ribosomal RNA", at positions 15 to 235 of the family's 1533-position model. The record is from RNAcentral.
GAUCAUGGCUCAGGAUGAACGCUGGCGGCGUGCUUAACACAUGCAAGUCGAACGAAGCACUUUAAUUGAUUUCUUCGGAAUGAAGUUUUUGUGACUGAGUGGCGGACGGGUGAGUAACGCGUGGGUAACCUGCCUCAUACGAGGGGGAUAACAGUUGGAAACGACUGCUAAUACCGCAUAAGCGCACGGGAUUGCAUGAUCCAGUGUAGAAAAACUCCGGUGGUAUGAGAUGGACCCGCG